CUACGGGGUGCAGCAGUGAGGAAUAUUGGUCAAUGGUCGAAAGACUGAACCAGCCAUGUCGCGUGAAGGAUGACGGCCCUAUGGGUUGUAAACUUCUUUUGUAUGGGAAGAAAAGCAGUUACGUGUAGCUGUCUGCCGGUACCAUACGAAUAAGGAUCGGCUAACUCCGUGCCAGCAGCCGCGGUAAUACGGAGGAUCCAAGCGUUAUCCGGAUUUAUUGGGUUUAAAGGGUGCGUAGGCGGCUCUAUAAGUCAGUAGUGAAAUCUCGAAGCUCAACUUCGAACGUGCUAUUGAAACUGUAGAGCUUGAGUACAGACGAGGCAGGCGGAAUGUGUUGUGUAGCGGUGAAAUGCUUAGAUAUAACACAGAACACCGAUAGCGAAGGCAGCUUGCCAGACUGUAACUGACGCUGAGGCACGAAAGCGUGGGGAGCGAACAGGAUUAGAUACCCUUGUAGUC
RNAcentral lists this ribosomal RNA (459 nucleotides) under uncultured bacterium. RNAcentral's name for it is "partial 16S ribosomal RNA". It matches the Rfam family "Bacterial small subunit ribosomal RNA", at positions 339 to 795 of the family's 1533-position model. The record is from RNAcentral.